This 375-nucleotide ribosomal RNA is filed under the name uncultured organism. RNAcentral describes it as "partial 16S ribosomal RNA". It matches the Rfam family "Bacterial small subunit ribosomal RNA", at positions 526 to 896 of the family's 1533-position model. The record is from RNAcentral.
AGAGGGGUGCGAGCGUUAAUCGGGACUUACUGGGGCGUAAAGCGUGCGUAGGCGGCUUUUUAAGUCGGAUGUGAAAUCCCCCGAGCUUAACUUGGGGAAUUGCAUUCGAUACUGGGAAGCUAGAGUAUGGGAGAGGAUGGUAGAAUUCCAGGUGUAGCGGUGAAAUGCGUAGAGAUCUGGAGGAAUACCGAUGGCGAAGGCAGCCAUCUGGCCUAAUACUGACGCUGAGGUACGAAAGCAUGGGGAGCAAACAGGAUUAGAUACCCUGGUAGUCCAUGCCGUAAACGAUGUCUACUAGCCGUUGGGGCCUUUGAGGCUUUAGUGGCGCAGCUAACGCGAUAAGUAGACCGCCUGGGGAGUACGGUCGCAAGACUA